This 253-nucleotide ribosomal RNA is filed under the name uncultured bacterium. Its description in RNAcentral is "partial 16S ribosomal RNA". It matches the Rfam family "Bacterial small subunit ribosomal RNA", at positions 524 to 776 of the family's 1533-position model. The record is from RNAcentral.
UACGUAGGGUGCGAGCGUUGUCCGGAAUUAUUGGGCGUAAAGGGCUCGUAGGCGGUUUGUCACGUCGGGAGUGAAAACUCAGGGCUUAACCCUGAGCCUGCUUCCGAUACGGGCAGACUAGAGGUAUGCAGGGGAGAAUGGAAUUCCUGGUGUAGCGGUGAAAUGCGCAGAUAUCAGGAGGAACACCAAUGGCGAAGGCAGCUCGCUGGGACGGUACUGACGCUGAGACGCGAAAGCGUGGGGAGCAAGCAGG